Molecule: ribosomal RNA, 468 nt
Filed under: uncultured bacterium
Lineage: Bacteria
Description: partial 16S ribosomal RNA
Rfam family: Bacterial small subunit ribosomal RNA
Source: RNAcentral
GACGAACGCUGGCGGCGUGCUUAACACAUGCAAGUCGAACGGAAAGGCCCUGCUUUUGUGGGGUGCUCGAGUGGCGAACGGGUGAGUAACACGUGAGUAACCUGCCCUUGACUUUGGGAUAACUUCAGGAAACUGGGGCUAAUACCGGAUAGGAGCUCCUGCUGCAUGGUGGGGGUUGGAAAGUUUCGGCGGUUGGGGAUGGACUCGCGGCUUAUCAGCUUGUUGGUGGGGUAGUGGCUUACCAAGGCUUUGACGGGUAGCCGGCCUGAGAGGGUGAACGGCCAAAUUGGGACUGAGAUACGGCCCAGACUCCUACGGGGAGGAGCAGGGGGGAAUAAUGGACAAAGGGCGGAAGCCUGAUGCAGCAACGGCGCGUGCGGGAAGACGGCCCUCGGGUUUGAAACCGCUUUCGCCUGGGACGGAGCGGUGGGGGCGGGAAUUGGGAAAAAAGCACCGGCUAACUUCGUG